This 1899-nucleotide long non-coding RNA is filed under the name Mus musculus (house mouse). RNAcentral describes it as "long non-coding RNA chr3:130561941-130563840". The record is from RNAcentral. Lineage: Eukaryota; Metazoa; Chordata; Mammalia; Rodentia; Muridae.
AACAUAACAGCAGAUAGGCAAUGGUCAUACCACCAAGUCUGCCUGGAUCCCUAUCCUUAAUGGUUUUAUGAGCUGAGAUAGACACUAGGAAAGGAACUUUGAAGAUUUUGUGAAAUUUCUUGCUUAAAAUCUCAAGAACCAGAAUUUUCUCCAAAGCUCAAUAUGUCACUUCAUUUGUCACAAUGUUCAAAGGCUUCUAUGAUUUCUCCACAGCUCUGAGGCCAAGAGAAGACAGCCAUGCCUUGAUCUAAAGAAAUACAAGGGGCUAGCCAGCUAAAAAGAUAAUCUCACUAAAACCUCCAACUCUCUUCUUUUAUUAUUGCUUGUUAAUUAUGAGCCUUCACUAUCUGAUAUAAUUUUAAUCUGCAGAGACUAGCAAGAGGUUUGACUAUGAGCUUAGAGCCCAGGGAAGGAAACAGACAAGUAAAGGCAUGAACACUAAUGGAUCAAGUGCUUUAAUCAAGACCAUGUGGGAUGAAGGCUAGAGUAUGGCAGCCUUUCUUAAAUCUGGGAGUCCAAGAUAGGUUUGAGCUGAAAUUGAAGAUGGAGGGGGGAGAGACAUAGGGAUGUUAGCCAUAUGGAAAUUGCACCUGUGGUAACAGAGAGGUGUAACCCCCCUCACUACCUGCCAUCUUGCCACCCUGUCAUCUUGAGUCCACCCAUAGCAUCUUAGCACUAAUAUCAUAUUAUAUGAUGAGCCUAUUUCCCAUGAUCCCUUCUUGAAAAGGUUGGGAUGACUAAGGUGGGUGUGUCUGUCACUCUGAGACAGCACAGCAUAUUCUGAGUCGAGUAAUAGGACACAUUCACACUUGGGAGUCCCCAUCGCUGACUGAUAGUAGCCUAUGCACGUGGCAUGUCUCCUCCUGCUGUCAAAUAAGAGGUAUUAUAAUUUUUUUACACAUCAUGCAACUCUGACCAACCACAUUUGAGUGAUGGAGACUCUGUGGGUCUUGUUCUUUUAGUCUCCCUGCCUCACAUUUAUUAAGGUAACAGCUGAACAAAGCUAUGGUGAUUGGACCCAAGUGUUGACAGGUAUUCAGACUCGGAAUAAAACUGGGGCUCAACUGGGUGCAUCCAACCUCAGCAGGCUUGUUUGUGGCAAAAUAAACUUUGCUACUGCCACAAAGAACCGGAAAUCCAAAAUGAGGAGAGGCCUUUUUUUAUUUCAUUCAUUUCAAACCACAAGAUCCGGCUUUUCUUAAACACUGGGAGAGCUCAGGUUUCACGCCAUGGCCUACAGCUCUCAACAUUUUUUUACCAAGAAAACAGCUCUAGCUGAUGGAAUACUGUGGUUUAUAUCACCAAACAACCCUUCCUAGAAAACACUGAGCCUUGGGGCUGCCCCUAGGAAAACCCCUCCAUGAGAUGCUUACUCACAUCCAAAAGAACUGUCUUCACACUUUACACAGGGUAGAAACGGGGGGCUUAUAGCCUCAUCCACACACGUGGCUGGCUCGGUGACAUUAAACAAUGCUCUACCUUUCAAGGGACAACUGAAGAAUGGCUAAACAUGUGCUGUUCAAAUAAUCUCUAGCAUGUUGUUUAGAUUUGUUCUUAAUUAAACAUCUUCCAUUUAAAAAUAAAUCUCUCUAUUCUGACUCUAUCCAACGUUCUAAUAAAUCAUACUAUCAAAAAAGCCAUUUGUUUCAUUUCCAGCAUGGUAUAGGAAAUGGAAUGGGCCUGAAAGUCACUUCAUGUGGAUUGAGAUAUCUGAUUUAUUAGGUCCUCCAGGGAGCCUUUCCUGGGCAGGGCACGCUCACAGCCAUUCUGAAGGGUUCACAUUGGCCAGUUAAACUAUUUGCUGUCAAUUUACCAAACUUUACAUUUUAUUCUUUCAUAGUCUGCCUGUUAUGUUUUGGUUGUUAGUGAAAAUUAGAGAAUCCAUACUGAUUCCUUAUC